AACGGAGGAAAAGAAACCAACAGGGAUUGCCCUAGUAACGGCGAGUGAAGCGGCAACAGCUCAAAUUUGAAAUCUGGCCCUUUCAGGGUCCGAGUUGUAAUUUGCAGAGGGUGCUUUGGCGUUGGCUGCGGUCUAAGUUCCUUGGAACAGGACGUCACAGAGGGUGAGAAUCCCGUACGUGGCUGCAUGCCUUGGCCGUGUAAAGCCCCUUCGACGAGUCGAGUUGUUUGGGAAUGCAGCUCUAAAUGGGAGGUAAAUUUCUUCUAAAGCUAAAUACUGGCCAGAGACCGAUAGCGCACAAGUAGAGUGAUCGAAAGAUGAAAAGCACUUUGGAAAGAGAGUCAAACAGCACGUGAAAUUGUUGAAAGGGAAGCGCUUGCAGCCAGACUUGCCUGUAGUUGCUCACCCGGGCUCCUGCCCGGGGCACUCUUCUGUAGGCAGGCCAGCAUCAGUCCGGGCGGUCGGAAAAUGGCCUCUAUCACGUAUAUUCCCUCGGGAAGACCUUAUAGGGGAGGCGUAAUGCGUCCAGCCUGGACUGAGGUCCGCGCAUCUGCUAGGAUGCUGGCGUAAUGGCUGUAAGCGGCCCGUCUUGAAACACGGACCAAGGAGUCUAACAUCUAUGCGAGUGUUUGGGUGUAAAGCCCGGGCGCGCAAUGAAAGUGAACGGAGGUGGGAACCCUUUGGGUGCACCAUCGACCGAUCCUGAUGUCUUCGGAUGGAUUUGAGUAAGAGCAUAGCUGUUGGGACCCGAAAGAUGGUGAACUAUGCCUGAAUAGGGUGAAGCCAGAGGAAACUCUGGUGGAGGCUCGCAGCGGUUCUGACGUGCAAAUCGAUCGUCAAAUUUGGGCAUAGGGGCGAAAGACUAAUCGAACUAUCUAGUAGCUGGUUCCUGCAGA
RNAcentral lists this ribosomal RNA (896 nucleotides) under Paramonodictys hongheensis. RNAcentral describes it as "Paramonodictys sp. EY-2021a partial large subunit ribosomal RNA". It matches the Rfam family "Eukaryotic large subunit ribosomal RNA", at positions 49 to 964 of the family's 3401-position model. Lineage: Eukaryota; Fungi; Ascomycota; Dothideomycetes; Pleosporales; Parabambusicolaceae. The record is from RNAcentral.